UUUUUUUUUUUUUUUUUAGGCUAAUACAAGUAAUUGUUGACCACAAUAAUGAUUGCAGCAGCGGCGUUACCAAGAAGGAAGUCACUAAGUCCAGCCCACACUGAAGAAGAGUUGAAGAUAAAGCUCUAUUUCCUAGAAGGAAUAAUUUUGAUUUGACCCAGUGCAUAUUUUCCUCUGAGAUCAUCAUCAAGAAGUUUCAUGCUGUACAAACACUAGUGGGUCUCUGUGAAGGUGACAGUUUUAAGACCAUUGGCUUGAAGUAGCUGCCUCUUCCCCAGACUCCUGUCCAGGUUAAGUCCACUCUUGAGGGUUUUUUUCCCAUUAUCUGUCUGUAUGCUUUUAAAAAAAUCUUUACUGUUGAAAGUAUUACAUAUA
Long non-coding RNA from Myotis davidii, 375 nucleotides. RefSeq lists it as uncharacterized. NCBI's taxonomy places the organism in Eukaryota, Metazoa, Chordata, Mammalia, Chiroptera, Vespertilionidae. The transcript has 3 exons. The record is from RefSeq and is a predicted model, not a curated record.